Macaca mulatta (Rhesus monkey) is the source of this 3390-nucleotide non-coding RNA. NCBI's taxonomy places the organism in Eukaryota, Metazoa, Chordata, Mammalia, Primates, Cercopithecidae. The record is from RefSeq and is a predicted model, not a curated record.
CACUGAGCCCCACCUUUGUGCGUAUUUUUAGAGGUUAAUCCCAGCAGCACUCCUGGUAGAGAGCUAAUAACCUGUGAUGACUGAUGAGAAAACCGGGGAGAAGAAGUUCAAGUACAUCCAAGGUCACCUGACUGGAGGCUGGCUGACCCAGGACCUAGACCUGGCCUGUCUCUGAGGCCGUCUCUCACUUGCUGUAUUAUACAUUUGCACAGAGUGCUGGGCUGUCUGGAGUUAUUCGGAUUCCAUGGACAGCUCUGCCUACAGCUUUGUGUGGUUACUUGCCGGAGCCAGGAUGGCCGGGCUCCCCACAUUGGCUGCUCUUCUUGGAUUGAAUGUACUGAUCUCCCUCUUGCUCUGAGUAUCAGUUGACAUCCAGGAAGUGUCUCCACUCAGCCGAAUUGCCUCAUCAGCAAAUGAACACCCUGGCAGGGUUUGCAUCCAGCACUCUCCCUAUGGGUUGGUCCCCCACUCUGUCGUGCCUGUUUCUUCACCCAAGAUUCAGUGAGAGCUUGGGCCCAGCACUCUGCAGUCCUGACCUUCAAGGGCCUGCUGUUACUGCAGAUAACGGGAAGCUGCUGUUUCUGUGAGAACUUCUUAUCACUUAGGAGGGCAUUUUUCUGUUUUCCUAGACGAGUCUUCAAAAUCCAAUUUCCAUCUCCCACCCACUUCUCUCUCUCUACACGAGACUUUGAUACACAGAAGCUUUGAAGAAGAAAGCUGCCUGUUUCUCAGGGAUGGAAUUUCUUAAUCUGAGCUCCAUGUACAUCUUCCUACACACCUUAUGGAGGUGGGGGUGCAGUUAAGGAAGAGUGUCAUUGGGUGGAACAGUCGGAGGAUAAAGCUGGACUGAGAAAGCUUAAAGAGGAGGGACUUUGCAGCCAGACCUCUGAGGAGGGGCAGGCUUUCCAGCAGAGCCGGGGCUCAGAGCCAUCAAAACAUCCCUCUGAACAGUUAAAAAUAGGACUCUCCUGCAAACAUGGAAUGAACACUCCUCAAAGAUUAACUUACCUCCCUGAACAGGGAGCUGGCAGGCGAGUGAACCCAUUCAAAGGAGAAUUUGAGGAACAGGUGCUCACACCUUAAGCCAGGAAGGCGAACUGAAAUCGGGUUGCUACGUUAAAGGCAAAGCUGGUAGCUGUCCUCCGGGGCAAUGGAGUCAUCACCUGUGGGGUUAUCUUCUUCACCAGGUGGCUGUGGGACUGCCCCUUCUUCCUGCUCUGAGCUGGAUUUCCUCAUCUGAAGAUGAGUGCAGGGGAUGGGCCCGUCAUCGUGCAUACAUCGUAGGUCAGUCUCGAAGAUCGAAUGAAGUCUACAUAUGAAGUGCUUGGCCCAGCCACAACUCAGGCAGCCUGGGAGAAGCCUGGUGCUUGCUUCCCCUCUCUAAGCCCACAGCCCUGGACCUGGAGGACACAUUAGUCAGACAGCCCUCCUGGUUCUCUUCCAACUCACCUGUAAACCCAGGUGCUUGCUGGCUCUGGCAAGAGGACCCUGGCAGUCUUGGUUUAAUUUGGGCAGCUAUAGCAAAAUACCACGAACUCGAGACUGGAAGUCCAAAAACAAGACACCAGAUGAUUCUCGGACUUGACCAGGAUGGCCUGAAUGUUCCCAUCAGCUUGGCUGAUGCUGCUUGGGCAGGCUUCUUCCUGACUCGAGGCACCUGACCUCCCUUUGCUCAGAGCAUUGCUUCAGAAAAAAUUGCGGUUGUAAGUCUCUCUCUGGCCCUUUGAGAUGGAAACCUUCUACAACCCAGGAAUGUAUUUCUCAAGGACCUGGGAGUGGUUCCUUCAAAACAUGAUCAUCAGGAAGAUGGUGCUCCCAGCUCCCAGUCCCUGAGGGAGGGGAGCCUGAUGUUGAUGAGAGGCGACGGGCAAACACACACACAGCCUGUCACAUCAGCCCAUCUUCCCUCAGUGUCCUCCAAAACUUUACCCCUAGCUCAUUCCAAAGUUUCAAAAACCUCCCACCUCUUGUUUCAGUUGAGUUGAGUUCAAUCUCUCUCCCAGGUUGCACUAGUCUUGGAUAAAAUCUUCCUUGCCUGUUUAACUCUGACCAGUACUUUUUUUUUUUUUUUUAAGACUCCAGCAUUUAGUGUUAUAUAUCUUUUCAGGUAAGUUACAUAAGCUGUGCAGCCUCAGUCUCUUUUCAGCCAUCACAUACUUGCUCACAGCAUCUGGGCCACCCUCUUUGUUCCCCACCCUCCUUUCUAAAUGCUUCCUUCCCAUUUUUCAAUGUUCUUCUGCUGAUUUAUCCCUGCCCAGCUGUAGUCAGGGACCCUCCUUUCCCUUGACUCUAAGCCUGAUGAGCUUAGCUCUCUUGUUUUGUUUCUGGGCUACUCUUCAGGCACAGAGUCAAAGUUGGGUGAACUCAUGAAUUUAUGGCUCCCCAUUUUCAUGUCCAGCCCUGGCAUAUAUACAAAGCUCCAGCAUGGUCUUACUGACUGUCCUGGGUUUAUUUCAAACUCAGCAUAGGAAAGAAAGCUUAUAAUUGCCCCCCAUCCCCCAAGACACCACUUUCCCUCCUUAUUUUUUCUGCUUCUCAAAUGCCUCGGUAUUCCCUGAGCCCUGACAUGGCAAAGUGGAGCCAGUCUUUGUCUCCACCCAUAUCUAAUCCGUCUUUCCCUUCUGUUAGGAACAAAGUUCACUCCUCUCUAUUUAUAUGUUGAAAGUCUAGCUUCCAAUGUGAUUACAUUUGGAGAUAGGGCCUUUAAGGAGAUAAUUAAGGUUAAACAUGGUCCUAAGGGUACGGCCUUAACCUGAUGAGACUGGCAUCCUUAUAAGAAGAGACAUCAGACCUCUCCCUCUGCCACAUGAGGACACAUUGAGAAGGCUGCCACCUGAAAGCUGGAAAGAGAGUCCUCAUCAGGAAUCACAGCUGGAAUGUUGAUCUUGGACUUACCAGCCUCCAGAACAUAAGGAAAUAACCACUCAGUGAGUCACUGUCUCAGCAUGUUGAGGGACUGAGCUCCUUGAGGGAAGGGGCCACAUCAUCGAGGGAGAAAGAGAAUUUUAAUGAUCCCACACCUCAGUUUUCAAGCAGAGCCCAAUUUGCUGUCUUGGGUAAUGCUCACAGAAGCCCUGAGAUGCAGGUACUGUCAGUCCAUUGCAGGGGAGGAAUUGAGGUUAAAAAGGUGUCCAAGAUCAUGUGACCUUUCAGGGCCAGGUCUGUACCUUCAGUUUGAUGAAGCAUUUGGAGGGGCUGGAAUGACCCAUCUGGACAUCUGCCCAGUUCAUGCCUGAUACUUGAUAUGAAUAAGGCAAUGGAAGGUGCUGGGGUUUUCAGAGGAUGAAAAAAAUAUAUAGAAUGCUGUAUUAGUCUGUUCACACAUGGCUCUAAAGAUACUACCUGAGGCUGGGUAAUUUAUUAAGGAAAGAGGUUUAAUUGACUCACAGU